RNAcentral lists this long non-coding RNA (700 nucleotides) under Salvia miltiorrhiza (redroot sage). Its description in RNAcentral is "long non-coding RNA (SMIL_LNC008330)". The record is from RNAcentral. Lineage: Eukaryota; Viridiplantae; Streptophyta; Magnoliopsida; Lamiales; Lamiaceae.
AAAAACUCAAAUCUUGAAAUCUUAUUGAUAAGCUUGUAAGCCUUGUAUACUUUGUCGGUGCUUGAAGUCGAAGUUUCACUCAUCCGAAUCCCUUACCCUUCGUCAACUAGCCUUGAGAACAGCUCCUAAAGCAUCUUUCCCUUUAUGAGGCUGAUUCAAUAGCUAACACAGCCCCUAAGAGCUGAUUCAAUAGCUAUAGUUGCGGAUUCUAUAACAAAUGAUAUUUCCUAUUGAUUGAUCCUUGCUUAUCUCGUAUAUUGACUAGAGGCAUAUUCGAUUGCAGAUCUGGAGUGUUUGAUGGUGGAAUAUCUGCAAGCUUCGAUAGUUGUGACAAGCAGCAAGAGAUUUGUUACGGAAUAUGUUCGAUUUCGAAGGAUACAUGGUGGAGUGGCUCUGCCAGCAGCUGCUGGCGUCGGGAUCUUUGAGAAGAUCGAUCGUCGAUUGCUUCAAGUUUUUCUCGAUCGCGGAGAGGCAGAAAUCUGUGGGAAGAGAGAGAGAGAUCGGUUUUAGGAGAUAAGGGAACUAGGGAGGGAAUUGUGUGAGAUAAAGUUAGACAAGAGUGACAAAAUUUUAAUGUUAAGGGUAAGUUUGUAUUUUAUAUAAAAAAUGGCUCAUUUUUAAGUUUUAAUGUGAGUGGAUAAUUUUUAUUUUGACAAUAACAAAUUGGCCAUUUUGAUAUAUUGACUCAACUAUAAAUUAU